CGGCACCUGGCGGCGUGCUUAAACAUGCAAGUCGAACGAUGAUGCCCAGCUUGCUGGGUGGAUUAGUGGCGAACGGGUGAGUAACACGUGAGUAACCUGCCCCUGACUCUGGGAUAAGCGUUGGAAACGACGUCUAAUACUGGAUAUGAUCACUGGCCGCAUGGUCUGGUGGUGGAAAGAUUUUUUGGUUGGGGAUGGACUCGCGGCCUAUCAGCUUGUUGGUGAGGUAAUGGCUCACCAAGGCGACGACGGGUAGCCGGCCUGAGAGGGUGACCGGCCACACUGGGACUGAGACACGGCCCAGACUCCUACGGGAGGCAGCAGUGGGGAAUAUUGCACAAUGGGCGAAAGCCUGAUGCAGCAACGCCGCGUGAGGGAUGACGGCCUUCGGGUUGUAAACCUCUUUUAGUAGGGAAGAAGCGAAAGUGACGGUACCUGCAGAAAAAGCACCGGCUAACUACGUGCCAGCCGCCGCGUUAAAUACA
RNAcentral lists this ribosomal RNA (485 nucleotides) under Curtobacterium flaccumfaciens pv. flaccumfaciens. RNAcentral's name for it is "bacterial SSU rRNA". It matches the Rfam family "Bacterial small subunit ribosomal RNA", at positions 36 to 527 of the family's 1533-position model. Lineage: Bacteria; Bacillati; Actinomycetota; Actinomycetes; Micrococcales; Microbacteriaceae. The record is from RNAcentral.